CGGUUAAGCUCGCGAUGAGGCACCCCAUGGCGAGGAUCAGGAUCGCCCACUCGACCAGAGCCCCGAGUCUCCACCGCCGACGCCGAUUCGCCUUCGCGUUGAUAUGCUGCUCCUUCUUGUAGAUCUCCUCGUCCUCCUCUUCCUCGUCGUCCGCGUCGAGUAACGGCGUUUUGGGGGUGCCCAGGGACGCCCUAGGGUUUGGGGAGGUCGAGCUCGGGGUCGGGGCCGCCGCCGCCGCGGAGGAGUGGGGAGGGUGCUCGACGAAGCGGGAUUUGGGCUUGGAGAUGGAUCUGCAGCGGAUUAGGGUUUCGGGAUUGGGGGUUCGUGGGAGCUUCCUAGGGCUCGGCGCCUUGGCGAUCUCCGGGGAGGGGUUUCCGACGCGCGGGGGCGAUGAUUUCGGCGCCGAAUCCUCGAAACCUUCGACAUUCGCAGAAGAAGUCGGCGCCGACUUUGCUGCUGCUGCUGCUGCUGCUGCGCCGGUUUGGAUUACGACGACGACUUCGCCUUGCUUUCGAUCAAUGCUCCUCUCUUUGUGAGCAUCGUCGUCCAUGGCCAACGAAGAGACAAAAAUACNAAUUAUCUUAAUAGUUUUCAACUAAAUGACAAAAGAGAGAAAGAAAUCAAAGGAAAAUACGGUGCUGCAGCGGCAACAACAAGGAACUAUCUAAUAGAAUUUGAAGUUUACAGAAUUUACCACCCAGUUCUUCAAUGCUGACUUCUUGAUCUUUCUUGUCUCAGCAGCUCCUUCAAACAUCGGAAGCACGGAUUCCACUUCCUCCUUGCUCAAAAAUCUCAUAAGAUCCUCUUCAUCUAUGUACCUAAGUACCCAAGAAGAAGAGGAAACACAUCAGGAGAGAUCAAAAAAAAAUAAGGCAAAGAGAUAUAAAGAAGAAGGCAAUUGGAUUUUGAGAUCCAUCACUUGUGAUCAGGCUUGGCGACAUUUUUAAAAAUCCGGUAAGCCGCAGCCUUCGCUUCCCACUCACUAUUAAUCUCCCUAUCCUUCUGUUCCCAGCCUUCCUCGCCAAAGUUUUCGAUUGUGUUCGAGAUUGUAGUGAGCUCUGUAAAGUAUAAAUUAUCAUAAGACCAUAAUAUCAAAGCAGGAUGUCCUAUGUUCAAGCACUUAAUUCAGAAUUCACAUUUUGGGCCAGCAGGAAGUCUCGAACGCAGGCAUAAGGGGAGCAGUUAAUAUAAAUUAUCAAGAAUAACAUUCUCAAACAGCUUGAGCAUUUACAGAAGUUAGUUCUUUCACGACCUGAAGUCCUGAUCACAUUGAUUAGGCCCUUCAUUGUCCAAGCCGAGACCUUCUCCUGAUCCAUCUUAUGAAGCUUCCCGACAUCAAUCACUGCUUGUUCUUCCCCUCCUUUAGCCUUCCCCUUCCUGGUGCUCCGAAAGCUUAACUGCCCUGUGCUCUUCUCUCUCCCUACCUUCUCCGCCAUCUCCAUCAACGGCAGCCCGGAGAGCGCCUGCAGCACGUACUGAUGGAAAAUUGACUCUUGGAUCCGAUCGAAAAACUUGGUCAUGUGGAAAGAAGAAGCUAAUAUCUUCAUGCCAAGGGUUUUCGCGAGCCAUAUUACCUAUCGGAUAUAAAACAUUAAUCAUCAUUCUCUACAACUUAAACUUUUAGCCGAAACAUAAAACUCACAACAUAUAAGAGCAAGAAGCCCUAAGCUCAAGUCUCCUAUUAGAAGUCUUAACCACAGACAUGAGGAGGAAUAUUAAAUAGUGUAAAUUAAGCUUUUGCUCUUCAAAACUAUUGGGCGCGUGACACUUUGGUCCUUAAACUUUAAUUUUUUGUAAUUUUUGCCUCAAACUUUCUAAAUUAUUGCAAUCACCUCCUACAAUUCAAUUUAGUUGGCUAAAUGUUGACAAAUUGUUGAUGUAGUAGUGAUGUAAAAAUAUUAUGAUCGAUGAUGCGAGAAUAGUUAAGAUGCUAUAUCACUUAUGCACAAAUAAUUUGUCAAUAUUUAACUAACUAAAUUGGACUACAGAAAUUGAAUGCAAUAAUUUAGAAAGUUCGUAUCAAAAAUUACAACAAAUUAAAGAUUUAAGGACUAAAGUGUCCCGUGCCCCAUAGUUUGAGGACCAAAAGUGUAAUUUAUCCUAUUAAAUAUUAAAGGUAAAAAUGUGUAGACCUUACCGAAACUAUAGUGCAUCUUGAUUAAAACAUUUUGAUUUUACUAUCUGAACUUAUAAUAUUUUAAAAAAUCGUAUAACUUUUAAUUAUACUACCAAAUAUUCGCUGUACUAAUGACACAUUGAUGGAAUAUUCUGUAGCCAAACAGAAAAUUCUGCAAAAUUUUUUACAAAUUGUCUAAGUUUGGAUAGUAAAAUUAAAAUUUUUAAAUUCAUGUUAUGCAGUAAAUACUUUUAACUUUUAACUUUUGAAGUUAUGAGCAUAUAUUUCAAAAUAAGUUAUAGUUCAUAGUUCAGGUAAGAUCUAUAUAUUCUCUAACAACUUAAGCUUUUAGACAAAGCAAUCAAAUAAUAACCUGUUAAAUGUUGAAUAUAUGUGGGUAUUGAACUCCACGACCUCACAUACCCAAGGGGUUUAGAAUUGGCUCGGAUACCAUGUUAUCUAAAAGAUCGAUCUAGUAGGAAACAUGUACGGAAAUAUAUAUUAACAAUUUCACAGUUACCGAUCCGAUCAGGAGCGAUGCGAGAAAGCGGGAGACGUAAUUGAGGAUCUUCGUCGUCUUCUUCGACCUCUCGAGCCCUCCAUUGAAGAGAAGGAACCAGGAAAGGAGCACAAGCCCUAGCCAAAUGCAAGCUCGCACACUAUCCUUCAACCCGUAGACGAAGUAGAGCACCUUCUUCUUCAAAAGGAAGUUCCUUUCGAUCAUGAAGACGAGCAAAUUGAUGAGCCACUGCGUCACCAACCCCCCGCAGCCGAUCACCGUCACCAUCAAGCACCAUUUCCAAAUCUCCAAGCCCCAGAUCACGGAUCCCUGGAGCUUGCGCACGGUUAAGCUCGCGAUGAGGCACCCCAUGGCGAGGAUCAGGAUCGCCCACUCGACCAGAGCCCCGAGUCUCCACCGCCGACGCCGAUUCGCCUUCGCGUUGAUAUGCUGCUCCUUCUUGUAGAUCUCCUCGUCCUCCUCUUCCUCGUCGUCCGCGUCGAGGAACGGCGUUUUGGGGGUGCCCAGGGACGCCCUAGGGUUUGGGGAGGUCGAGCUCGGGGUCGGGGCCGCCGCCGCCGCGGAGGAGUGGGGAGGGUGCUCGACGAAGCGGGAUUUGGGCUUGGAGAUGGAUCUGCAGCGGAUUAGGGUUUCGGGAUUGGGGGUUCGUGGGAGCUUCCUAGGGCUCGGCGCCUUGGCGAUCUCCGGGGAGGGGUUUC
RNAcentral lists this long non-coding RNA (3334 nucleotides) under Ananas comosus (pineapple). RNAcentral describes it as "long non-coding RNA (ACOM_LNC029807)". The record is from RNAcentral. Lineage: Eukaryota; Viridiplantae; Streptophyta; Magnoliopsida; Poales; Bromeliaceae.